AGCCCAUCUAAAAAUCAUCUUGUUAUAGCUUGAUAGUGGCUCGAUAAGCCAGCUGCAAACAAUGUCGCCAUUAGUGAUUUCAGUUGCUGCUCAUUCCAUGCAUUGGAAUACCUUAGUGUUAGUCUGGUUUCAUGCAGGCUUUUAUACUUGUACGACUGCACAUGGUGUUCCUUUCAGCAGCAUUCAGAAUCACAGUGGGAAAGCUGAAUAAUGGUAUUACGGUAUUUGUGGAUUUUUUUCUUUCUUAGAAAUCUCUAAGCAAUGGCUUAAAGCUAACAUGGGAUUGUACAUAAUCAGGUCUCCCUUGAUGCCCUUGUCCAUGAGGUGUGAGCUAGAGCUGCACAAGGCUGUGUGAUGGGAGUGACUCGGUUGCACCUAGACUCUGUCCUGUGCUGCAAAUACAUAAAACACCCUAGACCUUGUGGGGGAAGAUGGUGGAGGUUGAGGUAGAAACCAGUUGUGUGAUUCUGAAUGAGGAUACCAUGUUCACAAGAACAUGGGAGCUGUUGUGUUGGAUCAGACCAAGUGGUCAUAUGCCAGUGGCCUUUAAGUUGUAUAUCCUCCCCUUCUAAGUCCCCACAGGAUAACAGGAUCUUCUUGUCAAUGACAUUCUUGCCUUGGCCAAAUUGGUCAACAAAAGCUCCUGAAGGAGAUAACCUGAAGGGAAAUCCCAUGUCUGUGGGGGUAUUUCAGUCUUCUCAUCCUGACCCAUCUCCAGCAUCUGUCUCAUCUCCUGGGACUGAGAGCUGGUCGGGGAUAUAGGAAACAGGAUGGACUAAAUGUUAACUAUGAAGAACACAAAGGCAAAAUAACAACUGGAGUAAUGAGAAAAGACUGGUACUGGCUGGACAAAGAAACUGAAAUGAGGAAGCCUUUGGGACCAUGGGUAAUUAGGGUCUCAGAGGCAGACUAGGGAAAGAGUACGGCUGUGAGACAGGGCUUGGCAUUUGUUUGCUGAAAAGAUGAAGGACAAGGAUUUGUGGCAUAAUGUGGGGAGGUGGUUGCUUGGCAACCUUAAUUCAGUCCCCUUAUGAUACAUGUGUGAUCACAUAUUGUUUUUAUGCAGGAUUUCUGGCUCAAGUGUUGUGCAGGAUGGACCUGCUCAGGGGACACAGUAGGGCUGUGCAAGAAAGGCAGGUGAUGCCUGCAUGACUCCUGACUUAUUUAUUGCUUGAGCUGAAAAGUAGAUAAUGAAUGAAGAAGGGUAAAGGAAGGCCAUGUGACUGAACUGUGCACUGUUGCACAGGACUUUUCCUGCCUAUUGCUAAUAUAGCCACUUAAAACAGUUUGGUGUUUUAUUUAUUUAUUUAUUUGUUUGUUUGUUUUUCAGUCUCUGUAUGUGGAACCUCCCAUAGUCUAAUAGCUUCUAAUUAUCUAAUUUUAAUGAUCAUAGUUAGAGUCCCAAAUCCAAUUUGCUCAACACUCACACCUGUGACUGAUGCUGCAACUUCUGUGUUUGAAAUAUUGCUAAAUACUUUAAAAUUGCAUCUUUGAUGCAUCAGAUAGGACAUGUAAAAUUAGUGAAUACCUCUGUGCUUAGUUUUUCUCUGCCUCUACUCCCUUUAUUUUAGACAGCAAUGCUUCCUUUUCUUUGCCACCAUGUAUUUUUGUGAAGCUAAAUUAAUUUGCAUUUCUGCAGCACUCAGAUGUUGAAGUGAUGAGCACCAUUGAGAAGCUCUGGAGGAAAUUAAUAAUUCUUCCAUCAUAACACAAUUGAAUAAUGGGCAGUAAACAAAGCAUGGGCCACACAAUGAGUUAUGAGGUAAAAGCAAAAUAUUGAUUAGCUGUUUGGUGAACGAAGCAGUGGUCCUGUGAAUAAAUAGUGAUUAAAAAUUGUGUCA
Molecule: long non-coding RNA, 1841 nt
Filed under: Anser cygnoides (Swan goose)
Lineage: Eukaryota; Metazoa; Chordata; Aves; Anseriformes; Anatidae
Description: lncRNA (ENSACDG00005000493.1)
Source: RNAcentral